Molecule: long non-coding RNA, 541 nt
Filed under: Homo sapiens (human)
Lineage: Eukaryota; Metazoa; Chordata; Mammalia; Primates; Hominidae
Description: non-protein coding lnc-MYL7-2:1
Source: RNAcentral
UUAGGGAUGGUGUGAGUGGGGAGCCUGGGGGGAGUGGGGGGGUGUGGCCUGGGCACACGUGUGUUCUUGAGGAGGUAGGUGAGGCUCCAGGCGGUCGGAGGCCAUCAGAUUGGGUGAGACCUGGCUGGGAGAUGGGUCUCCCCACCUCCAUCCAAGGGCAGUGACUCCAGGAAGCAGGCAUGCAUCCUGGAGUCCUAGGUGAGAAUUCACCAAUGUGGUUGUGGAGAACUGGCUUGUUUUGCCCGUUGGGGUGACUGGAAGGAGUGGUAGCACCUGGGGCUCCCUGCUCAGGCCUGAUGCCACUGCUCCCCAGGGACUGUCCUGGCUGUGUUUGGCUCCGUGAGAGACGACGGGAAGUUUCUGGUGGAGGACUAUUGCUUUGCUGACCUUGCUCCCCAGAAGCCCGCACCCCCACUUGACACAGAUAGGUUUGUGCUACUGGUGUCCGGCCUGGGCCUGGGUGGCGGUGGAGGCGAGAGCCUGCUGGGCACCCAGCUGCUGGUGGAUGUGGUGACGGGGCAGCUUGGGGACGAAGGGGAGC